CCUACGGGAGGCAGCAGUGAGGAAUAUUGGUCAAUGGGCGGGAGCCUGAACCAGCCAAGUCGCGUGAGGGAUGACGGCCCUACGGGUUGUAAACCUCUUUUGUCGGGGAGCAAAGUGCCGCACGCGUCCGGUCUUGUAUGUACCCUGUGAAAAAGCAUCGGCUAAUUCCGUGCCAGCAGCCGCGGUAAUACGGAAGAUGCGAGCGUUAUCCGGAUUUAUUGGGUUUAAAGGGUGCGUAGGCGGGUCCUUAAGUCAGCGGUAAAAUGGUGCGGCUCAACCUCUGCCCGCCGUUGAAACUGCGGGUCUUGAGUGGGCGAGAAGUACGCGGAAUGCGUGGUGUAGCGGUGAAAUGCAUAGAUAUCACGCAGAACUCCGAUUGCGAAGGCAGCGUACCGGCGCCCGACUGACGCUGAGGCACGAAAGCGUGGGUAUCGAACAGGAUUAGAUACCCGAGUAGUC
This 459-nucleotide ribosomal RNA is filed under the name uncultured bacterium. RNAcentral's name for it is "partial 16S ribosomal RNA". It matches the Rfam family "Bacterial small subunit ribosomal RNA", at positions 338 to 795 of the family's 1533-position model. The record is from RNAcentral.